This 4876-nucleotide long non-coding RNA is filed under the name Manihot esculenta (cassava). RNAcentral's name for it is "long non-coding RNA (MESC_LNC009460)". The record is from RNAcentral. Lineage: Eukaryota; Viridiplantae; Streptophyta; Magnoliopsida; Malpighiales; Euphorbiaceae.
GUGAUUUGUAUCGUCGGCGGCCCCAAUUCUAAUGAUUAUGGAACUAACCGGAUUUUGCAUCACACUAUUGGGUUGCCUGAUUUUAGCCAAGAGCUCAGGUGCUUCCAGACAGUCACCUGUAUUCAAGUGAGUGUUAAUCUUUUUGCAUUUAUCAUAUAGUAUAUGUGCAUUUAUGCGUUUUUAUGCGGCAAUGUGUAUUUUAUGAUAUAUAUUGUCUGGUGAUGAUCAUGACGGUGGGAAUUUGGCAGGCAGUAGUGAAUAACUUGGAUGAUGCACAUGAGCAGAUUGACACUGCAAUUUCUACUGCUUUGAAAGAAAGCAAGCCCGCUUAUAUUAGCAUAAGUUGUAAUUUGCCUGGAAUUCCUCAUCCAACCUUCAUCAGGGAACCUGUGCCUUUCCUUCUUGCUCCUAAGUAUGCCCUUCUCUCUCAAUAUUAUUACAAUGUUUGUGGGUUUGUUUCGUCUUCUGGUGAACUUCAAUGAUAUUAUUAGUUUGAUUGAAAAUGGAAUUAGUCAUAGCCUUGUAUUUUGUAAUGCUAUAUUUCUCACUUUGUUAGCAAGCAAGAUGGAAACUUUAUUAUAAGAUGGAAGUUAUAUGUAUGGCAUACAUGUUAAAACUAAACUUUUCUGAAGUGAGUGAAAAUAGGAAGGCUUGGACAUAAAUUUACAGAUGUACAAAGCAUGAUUCAGAGGAUAAAUUCUUUGAUAGCUUUCAUUUUCUUGUUAAUCUUCCCCAUUUGCUGCAGGAGUUACAAAAGAUCUAGCAUUUAAUUUUAACUUAUUGGCAAUGGUCAAACAUAAUUAAGACCAAGUAAUCAUCUUCAAUCUCAGUUUGCUUUGUAUUCAUAUUGUUAUAUGUGAAUCUGAAGGCUAAGUUAUUGUUCCUGAUGUGUUAUUUUAACAAUGUUCUGUAUAUUCCACUGAAUAGGUAUAGGGAAAAUACUAGAUAAGUAAGUUGUGUAAAAUUCAUUAAAAUCCUUUCUUAAGUAUCAUUAUUCUGCACUACCAAUAGAUAGAGAGUUUAAAGUGGCACCAUUUACCUUUUAUCAUGCAGGGUAAGCAAUCAAUUAGGAUUAGAGGCAGCUGUUGAAGCAACUGCUGAAUUUCUGAAUAAAGCUGUGAAACCCGUCAUCGUGGGGGGACCUAAAUUAAGGGUGGCAAAGGCGCAGAAGGCUUUUGUAGAGCUAGCAGAUGCCAGUGGGUAUCCAGUUGCUGUUAUGCCCGCAGGCAAAGGGCUAGUUCCAGAACAUCAUCCACACUUCAUCGGGACAUAUUGGGGUGCUGUCAGCACUUGCUUCUGUGGGGAGAUAGUGGAGUCUUCUGAUGCCUAUGUUUUUGUUGGCCCUAUUUUCAAUGAUUACAGUUCUGUUGGAUAUUCCUUGCUGGUCAAGAAGGAGAAAGCAAUCAUAGUGCAGCCUAAUCGUGUGACUAUAGGCAAUGGCCCUUCUUUUGGCUGUAUAUUUAUGGCUGACUUCUUAAGUGCGUUGGCCAAGAAGUUGAAAAAGAACAGCACAGCCAUGGAAAAUUACAGACGCAUCUUUGUACCUCCAGGUGUCCCUCUGAAGUGUGAGAACAAUGAACCCCUUAGGGUCAAUGUACUCUUCAAACACAUUCAGGUAAGCCCAAAUGUGCUCAAGUAACAUAAUCUUUGCUAAUUUUGUAGAUUAUAUGAGAAGUCUAUUAAGUGCAUGAUCAUAGCACAGUCACUGGGUCUUUCAGGUAGUUUUUUGGUUUGGUUAGGUUAAUGUCUGCCACUUACUGAUCUUGAGAAUCCAAAAAAGUGUCUUGCUAGUUGACUCGGCCUCUGUCUCUCUCAAAAAACUUUUUUUUUACAGCAUCUAAAAUAGUGCUUUUUAUAAAAAGCACUUUUCUGGCCUCCAAACUCUGCCAAAUAGGCUCCUAGUAGAAUAGGGGUCAAUGCUUUUACUUCUUACUGGGUCUCUUAGUUCUGUCCGUAUGAUGGUCCUUUUUCGUGGAGCUAUCAGCUAUUGUCUUACUGCAAGGGGUUGGCCACGGUGAUAAUAUGAACUGCUAUCUUAAAAUUCUCCUGAUUAUUGGCUUCAUAGGAGAAAAUCUGACACUUGCAAAGAGCCUAAUAAUAGUGUAAUUAUUGAAGAAGUGGGAUUCUUCUUCAUAGUCCAUUAUCCAUGUGUUAUUCUUCCUUCAAUUAUUUAUGUGCUUUGCUAACAAAAUCUCUAACGUGGAAUAGCAAUUGCUAAGCGGAGAAACUGCGGUAAUUGCUGAAACUGGAGAUUCAUGGUUCAACUGUCAGAAACUCCGCCUCCCUGAGAAUUGUGGGUGAGUCAUUCACCAGACUGGAGCGUUAUAAAAACUGAACGUGCUCCUCUAUGUUUAUCAUCAUGAAUAGGGUGAAAAUUGUUUGCAAAUGUUUUUGUGUAGGUAUGAAUUCCAGAUGCAGUAUGGAUCCAUUGGAUGGUCAGUUGGUGCCACCCUUGGGUAUGCUCAGGCUGCCAGAAAUAAGCGUGUGAUUGCUUGCAUUGGUGACGGAAGUUUUCAGGUGAGUGAUACGACUCUUAUGAGCUCAUCUUCACCAUGAUAUAGCAUUAAGAAAUAUGUACAAAAGAGAGAAGGAAGAAUAAAAGAAAAGUGAUGAUCUAUACAAGUGCAAAAUGCUUUACUAUUCACAGUGGCUUUAAUUCAUUAUUUUAACCUAGUUAAUCUUGAAACUAUGAGGGAUGGAAUUUAAGGGAAGUUUGAAAAGAUGUAGUAAUGGCUGAACAGUGGAUAUCAGGCAAGACAUGCUCCAUUGUUACCCAAAAAGGAAAGUGAGAAAAUGGAUUUGGGAAGUUGUGCUUUGUAAUAAUGAACAAAUUGUGAUGUCGUCUGCAAUCAAUCCUGUGACUAACAAUUGUUAACGUGUAUGAUGCGGUUAUACUUUGUCUUUAUUCAGGUAACAGCUCAGGAUGUUUCAACAAUGAUCUGUUCGGGACAAAGGAGUAUAAUAUUCCUCAUCAACAAUGGGGGUUAUACUAUUGAAGUAGAGAUUCAUGAUGGCCCCUACAACGUGAUCAAGAACUGGGAUUACACCGGCUUUGUCAAUGCCAUCCACAACGGUGAAGGCAAAUGCUGGACAGCAAAGGUUUGAAUGAAUCGAACAAACACACUUCAUAUGAUUUUUCUGUUCUGAUCUCCUGCAUUAUGUUAGCUGUCAUGCUUCUUUAUUCCUAGCAACAAGAUCUCCAACCCUGUUAACUCAACGCCCUUUAUUCACGUAGUCAUAUCAAUUCUAUUGCAUAGUUGAAUCCCACAUUAUUUUUGUUGUAUUUCUUCCAACUUAGUACUUUUUCCUUUAUUUUGAACCAUGUUCUUGCAUAAUUCUGUCCUUUUCCUGUCUUCAUCUUUCUUAGCUACACUGGUGUUUAUCAUGUCCCAUGGCCUUGCAAAGUGGAUUCCAAACUAAAAUCCUAUUGCAAAUGAGAACCUUAGACAGCAAUGGCUGCUGAAAUUAUAAGUUGCAAAACAGAAAGAUGGAUUGCACAGUUAAGAUUUCGAAGAUUAUAAUUUUAGGGUGGACUGAUGAGUUAGGUACUAAUACAGGUCCACACGGAGGAUGAACUGACAGAGGCAAUUGCAACAGCAACAGGAGAACAAAAGGAUUCUCUAUGUUUCAUUGAAGUUUUGGUGCACAUGGAUGACACUAGCAAAGAGCUGCUGGAAUGGGGUUCUAGAGUUUCUUCUGCAAACUGCCGUCCCCCAAAUCCACAAUAAGAUUUGCAUGUUUGUCUCUCUUUUCUGCUUGUCUGGAGCCCCGUGAUUAUAACUAUUGUGUGAUGUACAUUAAAUUUUGUGGUGGUUGCGGAAAGAGUUCAAGAUGAUCAAGAAUAUGAGCAAUUUAGAUUUGUGUUGACGUGUUCUAUGUCACGUGCAAAGUUCAUAGACAAGUUGCUCUGCUAGACCUCUUAUCCUGUUUGCUGACUUUAAUGCAUUAAUAGCUCAUACUUCUAAACAAUCUAUUUAUUUCCUUUCCAAAAAAAAAAAUUAUUUAUUUUCAUCAAAGAUAAGAGAAAAUUCAUUAAGGGUUAGUUGAGCUUAAAUCCAGAGGAUUGAAAAAAAAAUAAAUUACCUCAGCUAAGGCAGAAUAGACGCCACAAAACCAGGUUUAAGCCCCCAAUUCAAAAACAACAACAGAACUCACCCAACUAGUGGGGACUCUAGAAGUGUCGGCAAUCUAUCACUACCGUCCAUGCUAAAUCGACUGUCUGAGGGUAGCUUGAAAAACCUUGUACAGCCAAGAAAAGCACAAUUUGCUCCAAACGGAGUCCCAGCAAGAGGAAGAAAACCAUGAAGUUCAAGAUCCAAGCCAGUCGCAUCAAGAAAACCAGAAGCGAUUUGCAUCAUGGUGAGGAAUAAAGCCUUCACAAGGGACCCAGAAGGUGAGACGCAACAAAGAACAAGGAGGCUCAUCGAAAAACACCCUUCCAGAAAAGGAUGCGACAGAGACUUAAGAGGGUUCCAGUCAAGGAGGGUUGAUAUCGCAAUCAAAACAGAAAAAAAUCGAGGCUAGUGGUGGUCAAAGCUCCCUCGAUCGAUGUUGAGGGUCACUAGAGGCUUACAUGUAAGCAUGGUACCGACCCCAGGAGGUAUCUCAACAUCUCCAACAGCCACCGCAGAUUUGAAAGACAGCUUUUUUCUAAGCAAAACAUCGACAUGCAAUUUUAAAUACAAAAAUUGCCUAUUUACACUAGCUUCAGAGGCUAAAGGGAAACCAUACACCGGGGAAAAUGCAGGAGAUGACUGCAAGCUCGAUGUGAAGAUAUAUACCUUCCGGAAAGUUAGCAAAUAUGGCCAAACAAAUAAGAUGAAUUUUAACACUUUCUAAUAAUUUUAACUUAGCUCACUUCUCCAAAACGAAUAAG